Molecule: transfer RNA, 85 nt
Filed under: Felis catus (domestic cat)
Lineage: Eukaryota; Metazoa; Chordata; Mammalia; Carnivora; Felidae
Rfam family: tRNA
About the family: Transfer RNA (tRNA) molecules are approximately 80 nucleotides in length.
Source: Rfam by way of RNAcentral
GCCUGAGUGGCUCAGUCGGUUGAGCGUCUGACUUCGGCUCAGGUCAUGAUCUCGCGGUCUGUGAGUUCGAGCCCCGUGUCGGGCU